CUCAGAACGAACGCUGGCGGCGAUGGAUUAGGCAUGCAAGUCGAACGGGAGCAGCAAUGCUCCAGUGGCGCAAGGGUGAGGAACACGUGAACAACCUGCCUUCGAGUUGGGGAUAGCUCUGGAAACGGGAGAUAAUACCGAAUAACAUCACCGGAUCGCAUGAUCUGGUGAUCAAAGCAGCAAUGCGCUUGAAGAGGGGUUCGCGUCCCAUUAGCUAGUUGGUGAGGUAACGGCCCACCAAGGCGAUGAUGGGUAGCUGGUCUGAGAGGACGAUCAGCCACAUUGGGACUGAGAUACUGCCCAGACUCCUACGGGAGGCUGCAGUCGAGAAUUUUGGGCAAUGGACGAAAGUCUGACCCAGCCAAUGCCGCGUGCGGGAUGAAGGUCUUCGGAUUGUAAACCGCUGUCAAGAGGGACGAAGAUUGACGGUACCUCUGGAGGAAGCCACGGCUAACUACGUGCCAGCAGCCGC
This 472-nucleotide ribosomal RNA is filed under the name uncultured bacterium. RNAcentral describes it as "bacterial SSU rRNA". It matches the Rfam family "Bacterial small subunit ribosomal RNA", at positions 23 to 518 of the family's 1533-position model. The record is from RNAcentral.